RNAcentral lists this ribosomal RNA (254 nucleotides) under uncultured bacterium. Its description in RNAcentral is "partial 16S ribosomal RNA". It matches the Rfam family "Bacterial small subunit ribosomal RNA", at positions 524 to 776 of the family's 1533-position model. The record is from RNAcentral.
UACGGGGGGGGGCAAGCGUUGUUCGGAAUUACUGGGCGUAAAGGGCUCGUAGGCGGCCAACUAAGUCAGACGUGAAAUCCCCAGGCUCAACUUGGGAACUGCGUCUGAUACUGGAUGGCUUGAAUUCGGGAGAGGGAUGCAGAAUUCCAGGUGUAGCGGUGAAAUGCGUAGAUAUCUGGAGGAAUACCGGUGGCGAAGGCGGCAUCCUGGACCGACAUUGACGCUGAUGAGCGAAAGCUAGGGGAGCAAACGGG